Protobothrops mucrosquamatus (brown spotted pit viper) is the source of this 242-nucleotide long non-coding RNA. RefSeq lists it as uncharacterized. The record is from RefSeq and is a predicted model, not a curated record. NCBI's taxonomy places the organism in Eukaryota, Metazoa, Chordata, Lepidosauria, Squamata, Viperidae. The transcript is spliced from 3 exons.
CCUCCUGGCCCGGCUCGGCCCGGCUUUGCAGGGGGGAGCGCGACUGAGUAGCGCGGAGGUUUUGCAAACUGGAUCCAGUCAGGAAUGGAGACUCCAUUGGAUGUGUUGUCAAGAGCAGCAUCACUUGUGCAUGCUGAUGAUGAAAAACGUCGACUUCAAUCAAGGUGAAGAAACAAGCCAGCAACGAUCAAGCAAAAUGAGAGGCACCAGAGCUAAAUGUCACCUGUUGUAGCAAAGGGAUU